AGUCGAACGAGAGAUGAGGAGCUUGCUCUUCAAAUCGAGUGGCGAACGGGUGAGUAACGCGUGAGGAACCUGCCUCAAAGAGGGGGACAACAGUUGGAAACGACUGCUAAUACCGCAUAAGCCCACGGCUCGGCAUCGAGCAGAGGGAAAAGGAGUAAUCCGCUUUGAGAUGGCCUCGCGUCCGAUUAGCUAGUUGGUGAGGUAACGGCCCACCAAGGCGACGAUCGGUAGCCGGACUGAGAGGUUGAACGGCCACAUUGGGACUGAGACACGGCCCAGACUCCUACGGGAGGCAGCAGUGGGGAAUAUUGCACAAUGGGGGAAACCCUGAUGCAGCGACGCCGCGUGGAGGAAGAAGGUCUUCGGAUUGUAAACUCCUGUUGUUGAGGAAGAUAAUGACGGUACUCAACAAGGAAGUGACGGCUAACUACGUGCCAGCAGCCGCGGUAAAACGUAGGUCACAAGCGUUGUCCGGAAUUACUGGGUGUAAAGGGAGCGCAGGCGGGAGAACAAGUUGGAAGUGAAAUCCAUGGGCUCAACCCAUGAACUGCUUUCAAAACUGUUUUUCUUGAGUAGUGCAGAGGUAGGCGGAAUUCCCGGUGUAGCGGUGGAAUGCGUAGAUAUCGG
This 627-nucleotide ribosomal RNA is filed under the name uncultured bacterium. RNAcentral's name for it is "bacterial SSU rRNA". It matches the Rfam family "Bacterial small subunit ribosomal RNA", at positions 60 to 700 of the family's 1533-position model. The record is from RNAcentral.